AGUCACUGACAUUAGAUACCCCGGUAGUCCCAGCCGUAAACAAUGUGCGUUAGGUGUGUCGGUAACCACGCGUUACUGAUGCGCCGAAGAGAAAUCGUGAAACGCACCACCUGGGAAGUACGGUCGCAAGGCUGAAACUUAAAGGAAUUGGCGGGGAGCACCACAACAGGUGGAGCCUGCGGUUUAAUUGGAUUCAACGCCGGACAUCUCACCGGAUAAGACAGCUGAAUGGUUGUCAAUCUGAAGGUUUUACAUGACUAGCUG
RNAcentral lists this ribosomal RNA (264 nucleotides) under uncultured archaeon. RNAcentral describes it as "partial 16S ribosomal RNA". It matches the Rfam family "Archaeal small subunit ribosomal RNA", at positions 718 to 982 of the family's 1478-position model. The record is from RNAcentral.